This 149-nucleotide ribosomal RNA is filed under the name Cladophialophora sp. V475. RNAcentral describes it as "partial 28S ribosomal RNA". It matches the Rfam family "Eukaryotic large subunit ribosomal RNA", at positions 1 to 149 of the family's 3401-position model. The record is from RNAcentral. Lineage: Eukaryota; Fungi; Ascomycota; Eurotiomycetes; Chaetothyriales; Herpotrichiellaceae.
UUGACCUCGGAUCAGGUAGGAAUACGCGCUGAACUUAAGCAUAUCAAUAAGCGCAGGAAAAGAAACCAACAGGGAUUACCUCAGUAACGGCGAGUGAAGCGGUAAUAGCUCAAAUUUGAAAUCUGGCCUCUUGGGGUCCGAGUUGUAAU